Molecule: long non-coding RNA, 676 nt
Filed under: Hordeum vulgare
Lineage: Eukaryota; Viridiplantae; Streptophyta; Magnoliopsida; Poales; Poaceae
Description: long non-coding RNA (HVUL_LNC019506)
Source: RNAcentral
CAUUUUUUGCUAAAUAUGGGUGACUUUGUGCUAUAAAAAAGGGUUGGUGUCCCUACGCGGGUGGGCUGGUUUAUCUUUGGGCCUGGUUAGUUUCUCAUGGCCCAACAUCUAUUCGGCACCCCACGGCUCAAUAUCGUUUUUUACCAUGUACUCUUGACUGCAAUGCACUUUGUUUUAACUAAACCAAUAAUCCAUUGACUUCCACUGAAUAUAUCAUUAGACGAAUUUAGGAAAGUUAUGCUUGAGACAACUUCAGCUAGCAAAUGAUCCCUAGACUAACUGAAACUAUGAGCUAGACACACUAACUGAAACUAGGGAUCCCUGAAACUAGCUUGACACAAGUAAAAGAAAGCCAUAGCAAUGACACAACAAUAAAAUGCUUUGGCCAUCAUAUUUUCUUGCUACCUCAAAUCAAUCACGUGCUUUAGUUGCUUGCCCAUUUUUCUUCAGUUCACACUUUAGUCUAGCACUGUCCAUCUUCAGAUCUGCUCUGUCUGCCAAAUGGAGGGUAUGUUCAAUAGCAAGCGGCACACCAAAAUUGAGCUCCUCGGUUGAUACCUCCAGUUUAAACCUCUCAACGUACUCAUCGAGCCACUCGAAAUGCCCACAUUUCCUUAGAACCUGGAAAACGGGAUCAGCGGCGCAUAUACCCUAGAUCCACUACCGAAAUUUGACG